RNAcentral lists this ribosomal RNA (428 nucleotides) under uncultured bacterium. Its description in RNAcentral is "bacterial SSU rRNA". It matches the Rfam family "Bacterial small subunit ribosomal RNA", at positions 9 to 422 of the family's 1533-position model. The record is from RNAcentral.
GAGUUUGAUCAUGGCUCAGAGUGAACGCUGGCGGCGUGCCUAACACAUGCAAGUCGUGCGCGAAAGGGUAGCAAUACCUGAGUAAAGCGGCGAACGGGUGAGUAACACGUGGUUAACCUGCCGGAAUGUGGGGGAUACCCCGGGGAAACUCGGGACAAUACCGCAUAUGGUCUCCUGGGCUCGGGCCCGGGAGAGCAAAGCUGGGGAUCGUAAGACCUGGCGCAUUCCGAGGGGACCGCGGCCGAUUAGCUAGUUGGCGGGGUAAUGGCCCACCAAGGCAACGAUCGGUAGCCGGCCUGAGAGGGUGAUCGGCCACACCGGAACAGAGACACGGUCCGGACUCCUACGGGAGGCAGCAGUGGGGAAUUUUGCGCAAUGGGCGAAAGCCUGACGCAGCAACGCCGCGUGGAGGAUGAAGGUUCCCUGAA